AAAAAAACAAAGGACGUGAAGCUUUACGAAAGAUGGCCAAGGAAAAUAACGAUAGCACAGUUAUCAAAAGGGGCAAAUAAUGAAACGGAACCUAAAUUUAAGCAUUGAACGUUUACUGAAAUUUCCUACUGAACAAAGAAAUCUGUGCCGAUGCCCCUGCAUGCAUAGGUACUCUUACGCACAGGCAGGUUUUUCUAUGAGUGAGAUAAAUUCAGAUAAUGAUUCGAUGUUGGUGAUAGAAGCGUCAAGUUGGUUCCAUUCUGCUAUUGCGAGCGUGAUGAAAGAUUACAUAAACGUGUCAUUUUUACAUACGUAUUCUGUCGUGUAGGUCGAGCCUGGAAAAAUGAAAUGUAUUUGGAGGUAUCUAUCCCUAUAGUUAUUUUUUAGCCGUUGAAACAAGAAUUUUAAGCGAGCGUGUUUCGCUAUUGUGGAUAGUGUUCGCAAGCCGGACUGGGUUAAAAGAUUUGUUGGCGAGUCUGUACGUUUAUAGUUGUUAUUGAUCAACCUCACAGCUUUUCUUUGUACUGAUUCUAGCUUGCUUAUGUUAGUCAGUGCAUGUCGAAACCAGACUGUGUUAGCGUAUUCGAGAACGGGCCUUACAAAUGAUGUGUAGGUUAGCAGCUUCGUUGAAGUGGUUGCGAGCGCCAGGCUUCGUUUUAAGAACUUAAUUUUAUAUAAACUUAAGUUGCAAACAAUUCGCUGUUAAAGCACGAUGUCCGAAAAGCUUACAGCGGCCAAAUAUGUGCUUGAUAGCAUUAACAGGGCAAGCAUGAAAUUUCGCGCCAACGCAGCAAAUUUCUUAUGGAGUUGUCUCUAAGAAUGGCAUCUGUUAUUAGGUCGAACAUUUAUGAAACGCCGGAAAGACUUAAGUGCCUAUAAGUUGUAAACAAAAUGCAAGAUUCAGUAAACUUCCCCUGCGAAAAAGCCUGCCAAACUGCGCUCAAAGGUAGCUGCAACGGCCCCUUCAAUCGCGCUAGGCAGUGAGCCAGCAAACAGUGCCCUACUACUUCCGUAGGGUGGAAUAGCUCGGUUACACAGCUUCGCCGUCUUUAAUUAUUCAGUUGCCAAAUUGACAUGCUCCUGCUAAGGUUUCGUACUGAGCUUUACCUAUAUGGUGCGAAAGAUGAAAACCGUGACGUGAUUUCGUGUCUGCUCGCCACUGCACGUGUAAUCGCAAAAGUGGUGUGGAAAAAGUGACACCACUCACCUACCUCGGCAACCGUCUGUAGGUGGCAAGCUGUCGGCGUUCGCUGUGGUUAAAGUGUUUAAAAACCCACGCACACAUGCACACUUAUACUUGAAGUUGGAUGUGCAAUACUGAAAACAUUCCUGAUGUUGCUGCUGCUACCUUUUCAGGGUGUUUGCUUGCCUCGUAGGCCCGCAGACGCACCAGGGCCAUACUUCGUCUGAUGAGAUGCAGGACAAUAGUUGGAUUGUCAGAACAGAUGGUAUCGUAAUAGCGGACGAAAGCUAAAAUGCCCGCGUACACUCGUUUCUGUGCGUGUUAUAAACAAGCAGGCGUUAAGGAUUAAUCCGCACGUCCAUAUUUUCUGCUUCAGCUGGUUUGGUCGUUACGGUGAGAAAUGCCUGCAAUAACUGAAAGCGGUAAAAUAAAAGAGGACACCCCAAGUUUACCGCAGGACCAGCAUGAAGAGCGCCAAGUUCAACUAUAAGCCUUACCAAGCAGAGAUGGUCAAAACAUUGUGAGCAUGUAUAUAGGCUACCGCAUUCGUUACCAGGCUGAGAAAAACUCCUGUACAUUAGUCCCGUCCGUUGCAACCUGCUUUCUCAUAAAGAUAAGCAGUGUUUUUUUACGUCUUGUCGGGCCUUUGGGCAGACGUGCCAGUAGAAUUACGAAGCUGCCUAUACGAAGAUGCUGAACGCACGUUCGUCACCAUCAUCAACUCUAUUCUGGUCUAACCGAAUUAUCUAAACGACAGAUUUCGCGUUCAGGACGUUAUUUCCUCCAGCGCCAAUUAUCUCAGCAACCGAGUUGCUAUAACAGUACGUGGUGUGACUGCGUGUGAUAUUAGACCUUUGGAUACACCGUUUAUAGACGACGGAGUGCAAAGGGCUUGCCGAAAAUUGCGUUUAAAAUCAUAGGCGAAGGCCUGAGCACUGCGAAGAGUAACUUUGUUCGGGCAUUUCUGAUACAGGGCAACGCGCAGUAAUACAGCGUAGUAUGUAACACGAACGUCACCUUGAAAUUCAUCUCUUUAGCACGGCAUUAACACAGGGAAUAGUAUAGAGGCGAACGC
Dermacentor silvarum is the source of this 2258-nucleotide long non-coding RNA. RefSeq lists it as uncharacterized. The record is from RefSeq and is a predicted model, not a curated record. Lineage: Eukaryota; Metazoa; Arthropoda; Arachnida; Ixodida; Ixodidae. The transcript is spliced from 3 exons.